GAUGAACGCUAGCGGCAGGCUUAAUACAUGCAAGUCGAGGGGCAGCACGGGUAGCAAUACCUGGUGGCGACCGGCAAACGGGUGCGGAACACGUACGCAACCUUCCCAAAACUGGUGAAUAGCCCUCCGAAAGGAGGAUUAAUACACCGUAAGAUGAUGGAGUGGCAUCACUCUAUUAUUAUAGCUCCGGCGGUUUUGGAUGGGCGUGCGCCUGAUUAGGUAGUUGGCGGGGUAACGGCCCACCAAGCCUGCGAUCAGUAACUGGUGUGAGAGCACGACCAGUCACACGGGCACUGAGACACGGGCCCGACUCCUACGGGAGGCAGCAGUAAGGAAUAUUGGUCAAUGGACGCAAGUCUGAACCAGCCAUGCCGCGUGAAGGAU
Molecule: ribosomal RNA, 384 nt
Filed under: uncultured bacterium
Lineage: Bacteria
Description: bacterial SSU rRNA
Rfam family: Bacterial small subunit ribosomal RNA
Source: RNAcentral